AGGUUACCCCGGAAGUGAAGUAAAGAUAAGUGCUUGAAGAUUGAAGUUGCUUUGGAUAUAUUAGCUAUUUGCGUAAAAUGCCGAUCAAUCAUAAAAUCAAGAAUGGUGUUUUGUUGGUGCGGUAAGCAAGCAAUACUACGAACAUCAUGGACUGACAGAAACCCAGGAAGGAGGGUUCCAAAUGUAGAUUCAUUGGAUGGCAUGAUCCAGAAAUGUGUCAACGUGCUACUGAAAUUAUAUCCUUGACUGUUUUGCUAUUCAAGACCUCACACAUAUUGUUAAGCAAGACAUCAGACUUGGCCCUUCCUGUUGGAUCAAAUAUUUUUGACCUUAGCUUAAUAAUUA
This is a long non-coding RNA of Erigeron canadensis, 345 nucleotides long. RefSeq lists it as uncharacterized. The transcript is spliced from 3 exons. NCBI's taxonomy places the organism in Eukaryota, Viridiplantae, Streptophyta, Magnoliopsida, Asterales, Asteraceae. The record is from RefSeq and is a predicted model, not a curated record.